UUCUCUCAAGUCCUUCAUCCUCCUCUUUUCCUCUCCUCUUCUUGAUCAUGUCUUUGUUGAUUGAUUUCCCAACUCAGAGCUUGUUGGUUGUGGCCGCCUCCACUUUUCAAAGGGGCUCUCCAUUUCUCCUCCUCCACUCAAAGAAACCAUCGAUAAUCAAUCCGCCUCCGCCAGAAGAAACAUUUUCUCCCUCCGUACGAAGGC
This 204-nucleotide long non-coding RNA is filed under the name Olea europaea (common olive). RNAcentral describes it as "long non-coding RNA (OEUR_LNC004945)". The record is from RNAcentral. Lineage: Eukaryota; Viridiplantae; Streptophyta; Magnoliopsida; Lamiales; Oleaceae.